RNAcentral lists this ribosomal RNA (433 nucleotides) under uncultured bacterium. RNAcentral's name for it is "partial 16S ribosomal RNA". It matches the Rfam family "Bacterial small subunit ribosomal RNA", at positions 29 to 507 of the family's 1533-position model. The record is from RNAcentral.
AACGAACGCUGGCGGCAUGCCUAACACAUGCAAGUCGAACGAGAACUUCGGGUCUCGUGGCGCACGGGUGCGUAACGCGUGGGGACCUGCCCUUAGGUUCGGAAUAACUCCCCGAAAGGGGUGCUAAUCUCGGAUCAUGUCUUCGUACCAAAGAUUUAUCGCGUUUGGAUGGGCCCGCGUUGGGUGCGCCUGUUGGUAGGGUAAAAGCCUACCAAGGGGACGAUCCAUAGCUGGGCUGAGAGGAUGAGCAGCCACACCGGGACUGAGACACGGCCCAGACUCCUACGGGAGGCAGCAGUGGGGAAUACUGGACAGUGGGCGAAAUCCUGAUCCAGCAAGGCCGCGUGAGUGAUGAAGGCGUUAGGGUUGUAAAGCUCUUUUACCCGGGAUGAUAAUGACAGUACCGGGAGAAUAAGCUCCGGCUAACUCCGUG